GACGUAGGGGGCCAGCGUUGUUCGGAAUUACUGGGUGUAAAGGGUUCGUAGGCGGUGUGGCAAGUUGGGAGUGAAAUCUCUGGGCUCAACCCAGUGGCUGCUUCCAAAACUGCUGUGCUUGAGUGUGAGAGAGGCUCGUGGAAUUGCAGGUGUAGCGGUGAAAUGCGUAGAUAUCUGCAGGAACACCCGUGGCGAAAGCGGCGAGCUGGAUCACUACUGACGCUGAGGAACGAAAGCUAGGGGAGCAAACAGG
This 253-nucleotide ribosomal RNA is filed under the name uncultured bacterium. Its description in RNAcentral is "partial 16S ribosomal RNA". It matches the Rfam family "Bacterial small subunit ribosomal RNA", at positions 524 to 776 of the family's 1533-position model. The record is from RNAcentral.